Phrynosoma platyrhinos (Desert horned lizard) is the source of this 72-nucleotide non-coding RNA. The record is from the annotation of a GenBank genome assembly. NCBI's taxonomy places the organism in Eukaryota, Metazoa, Chordata, Lepidosauria, Squamata, Phrynosomatidae.
GCCGGAAUGGCAUAAUGGUUUGAGUGUUGGACUACAACUCUGGAUACCAGGGUUUGAUUCCCAGCUCAGCCA